AUUGAACGCUGGCGGCAGGCCUAACACAUGCAAGUCGAACGGUAACAGGAAGAAGCUUGCUUCUUUGCUGACGAGUGGCGGACGGGUGAGUAAUGUCUGGGAAACUGCCUGAUGGAGGGGGAUAACUACUGGAAACAGUAGCUAAUACCGCAUAACGUCGCAAGACCAAAAAGGGGGACCUUCGGGCCUCUUGCCAUCGGAUGUGCCCAGAUGGGAUUAGCUAGUAGGUGGGGUAACGGCUCACCUAGGCGACGAUCCCUAGCUGGUCUGAGAGGAUGACCAGCCACACUGGAACUGAGACACGGUCCAGACUCCUACGGGAGGCAGCAGUGGGGAAUAUUGCACAAUGGGCGCAAGCCUGAUGCA
RNAcentral lists this ribosomal RNA (366 nucleotides) under Escherichia coli. RNAcentral's name for it is "bacterial SSU rRNA". It matches the Rfam family "Bacterial small subunit ribosomal RNA", at positions 30 to 390 of the family's 1533-position model. The record is from RNAcentral. Lineage: Bacteria; Pseudomonadati; Pseudomonadota; Gammaproteobacteria; Enterobacterales; Enterobacteriaceae.